AGUGAACGCUGGCGGUAGGCCUAACACACGCAAGUCGAACGGCAGCACAGAGGAGCUUGCUCCUUGGGUGGCGAGUGGCGGACGGGUGAGGAAUACAUCGGAAUCUACUCUGUCGUGGGGGAUAACGUAGGGAGACUUACGCUAAUACCGCAUACGACCUACGGGUGAAAGCAGGGGACCUUCGGGCCUUGCGCGAUUGAAUGAGCCGAUGUCGGAUUAGCUAGUUGGCGGGGUAAAGGCCCACCAAGGCGACGAUCCGUAGCUGGUCUGGGAGGAUGAGCAGCCACACUGGAACUGAGACACGGUCCAGACUCCUACGGGAGGCAGCAGUGGGGAAUAUUGGACAAUGGGCGCAAGCCUGAUCCAGCCAUACCGCGUGGGUGAAGAAGGCCUUCGGGUUGUAAAGCCCUUUUGUUGGGAAAGAAAUCCAGCUGGCUAAUACCCGGUUGGGAUGACGGUACCCAAAGAAUAAGCACCGGCUAACUUCGUGCCAGCAGCCGCCGUAA
This 506-nucleotide ribosomal RNA is filed under the name uncultured bacterium. RNAcentral describes it as "partial 16S ribosomal RNA". It matches the Rfam family "Bacterial small subunit ribosomal RNA", at positions 29 to 523 of the family's 1533-position model. The record is from RNAcentral.